Ooceraea biroi (clonal raider ant) is the source of this 383-nucleotide long non-coding RNA. RefSeq lists it as uncharacterized. NCBI's taxonomy places the organism in Eukaryota, Metazoa, Arthropoda, Insecta, Hymenoptera, Formicidae. The record is from RefSeq and is a predicted model, not a curated record.
UUAGAAAACUAUGAAUAUACUUCUUUCAAUAGUGAAGCAACUUAUAGUACACUUCCGACUAUCGAAAGUAUCUCAUAUGGAAGGUGUUCCCAAACUUCCAGUUGACAGUGAUGAAAAUUUGGAAGAAUUCGAAAGGUUUUUGGGUACUAAUACAAAUUUUGAGUACAUGGUUAAUACUUUAAGCAUAUCAGGUGCACAACUGUUUCUCAGAUCAGUAGAAGGACUUUGGAAAGAAUAAUUACAAAUAAUUAUGCUAGAAAUUUUAACUGGGCAGGAAGAACACCGAAGAAAUCUUUCAAGAUUCUUAAAAUAAAGGACUUAGUCAUAGCUAUUGUCAAGGCUAUUGAACCAAAUGCUGCAAUAUAUGAUGUAGAAAAGUCCAU